AAUGAACGCUGGCGGCGUGCUUAACACAUGCAAGUCGUGCGCGAAAGCGGCUUCGGCCGCGUGUAGAGCGGCGAACGGGUGAGUAACACGUGGACAACCUGCCCAAGAGUGGGGGAUAACCUGGGGAAACUCGGGCUAAUACCGCAUACGUUCGUGGGGCUUCGGCCCUGCGCAGAAAGGUGGCCUAUGCUUGCAAGCCACCGCUCCUGGAGGGGUCCGCGUCUGAUUAGCUAGUUGGCGGGUAAUGGCCCACCAAGGCGACGAUCAGUAGCCGGCUUGAGAGGGUGAUCGGCCACACUGGAACUGAGACACGGUCCAGACUCCUACGGGAGGCAGCAGUGGGGAAUAUUGGACAAUGGGGAAACCCUGAUCCAGCAACGCCGCGUGGAGGAUGAAGGUCUUCGGAUU
Molecule: ribosomal RNA, 408 nt
Filed under: uncultured bacterium
Lineage: Bacteria
Description: bacterial SSU rRNA
Rfam family: Bacterial small subunit ribosomal RNA
Source: RNAcentral